AAGCGGCGUGCUGGACACUUUUGACGCUGAGGCACGAAAGCCAGGGGAGCAAACGGGAUUAGAUACCCCGGUAGUCCUGGCCCUAAACGAUGGGUACUAGAUUGUGGAUUUGACAUGAAUUCCCAAUCGAAGCAAAAGUGUUAAGUACCCCGCCUGGGGAGUAUGGUCGCAAGGCUGAAACUCAAAGGAAUUGACGGGGGCUCACACAAGCGGUGGAGCAUGUGGCUUAAUUCGAGGCUACGCGAAGAACCUUAUCCUGGGCUUGACAUGUGCGAAAGCGGUUGGAAGUACCUUGCGGAAACGUGGAGGGAACGGUAUCCAGUCCGGAACCAACUACAGGUGCUGCAUGGCUGUCGUCAGCUCGUGUCGUGAGAUGUUGGGUUAAGUCCCGUAACGAGCGAAACCCUUGUCUCCAGUUGCCAGCGAGUAAAGUCGGGGACUCUGGAGAGACUGCCGGUGUCAAACCGGAGGAAGGCGGGGAUGACGUCAAGUCCUCAUGGCCUUUAUGCCCAGGGCUGCACACGUGCUACAAUGGCGUAUACAAAGGGAGGCCAACCCGCGAGGGGGAGCAAAUCCCAGAAAAUACGCCCCAGUUCAGAUCGAAGGCUGCAACUCGCCUUCGUGAAGUUGGAAUCGCUAGUAAUCGCGGGUCAGCAACACCGCGGUGAAUGUGUUCCUGAGCCUCGUACACACCGCCCGUCAAGCCACGA
This 710-nucleotide ribosomal RNA is filed under the name uncultured bacterium. RNAcentral describes it as "bacterial SSU rRNA". It matches the Rfam family "Bacterial small subunit ribosomal RNA", at positions 719 to 1407 of the family's 1533-position model. The record is from RNAcentral.